Macaca mulatta (Rhesus monkey) is the source of this 1459-nucleotide non-coding RNA. The record is from RefSeq and is a predicted model, not a curated record. NCBI's taxonomy places the organism in Eukaryota, Metazoa, Chordata, Mammalia, Primates, Cercopithecidae.
ACAGGCGUGAGCGGCCGCGCCCGGCUGUUCAUUGCAUCUUAAAAAUAGUAGCACUUUGUUGUGUGUCUACUGUUGUUUUCCCUCCGUUUUUCUUGGUUUUGAACUAGUUUAUUUAUUUUUAUUUUUUAUUUUUUUGCCAUAUAGAAGGGUUACAAAGUUAAAUGUUUCCAUAUUUUCCAUUCUAGCUUCUGGUAGUAACUAGAAUUUACCUAAGCCCAGGAGAAAAAAAAAAGUCACCUAUGUUUUAUUCUGGCUUUGUACUGUUUUCAUUUGCUCUGUUAUAAUUUUAGUAUAAGAAAUCCAGGAAAUCUAUUUUGCUUCCCAAAUGGCCGUCCAAUCAGGAUUUACUUUUUACCACUUGGUUGGAGAGGUAGGGGAAGAGGAGACUGGAAAAAAUAGAAGCUGAAGGCAGGACUAGAUGUGUCUCCCUCCCCAGCCUCCUUUCUCUGCAGAGGUGGAGGAAUCAGGGAAGCUAUCGUGGCUUUAGGUGUUGACUUUUGUCUAUCUUUGCUGAAGCCAGGAGUGAAAUUGAGACAAUAUUCCGGUUCUUGGAACCUGAGUUAGCGUUAAAGGGGAUGACAAACAGGCUGUUGUUAGGAGGUAGUUCCAUGCAACAGGAAGAGUUUCCACCUCCCUCAGAGGUUGCCUUUCUCAUUUCUCCAAAUGAUUUGACAGUUGGCCUAAGUUUCCUUUACUUCUCCCUACCAUGGUGUGAGAUUAACUUGAAUGCGGACACUAUGUGGUGGUGAGCGGCAGUGGGUGUAUCUUGCCCAUACACCCCUGGAGGACAGGGACUGACCAACUCACCCAACGGUCCUCUGCAUGCACAGGGUCCCCGCACAUGGCACAUAGUUGGUGCUCAGAAGGCAUUUGCAGGAACAAAGGAAAACACAAGCACCCACCGCAGUGAUGGCUGAUUUUGUCUUGUCUGCAAUGGAGGUUAGUCACCACUAGGUGUCAUGGCGAGUCAAGUAAAAUGUUGGUUCAUGGUUACAAAUUAUGCAUUUACUGUAUUCAUCUUCAUGCAUGCACACAUGCAAUGUUUUAAAAAGCAUCUGUUGAGUGUCUUCUGCAUGACACACAUGUUCUGGUGCUGGGGAUCCUGCCCUGGCUGAGCUUCUGGACCCGGUGGGGAGAAAUCCACAGUGAGUACUGAGAGGAGGGGCCAAAGUCCGGUGGAGGCACCUAGGAGGAGCGCCUGCUUACCCUGGAGGGAUGGGGAGCAGCUUCCAGAGCGAGGAGCCUUCUAAGGUUAGGCCGCAUGUCUACUGGAGCCUGGGCCAUCAGGUCCACCUGAAUCAGAUGAGUUGAGGAAAGGAAAGAGAGAGAACAUCAGUGGAAAUCCAGUGUGAUCGGAAGCUUCCCGAGGCCUCCCAGAAGCUGAGCAGAUGUUAGCACCUUGCUUCCUGUACGGCCUGCAGAACCAUGAGCCAAUUAAACCUCUUUUCUUUAGAAGUUA